Molecule: small nuclear RNA, 165 nt
Organism: Nycticebus coucang (slow loris)
Lineage: Eukaryota; Metazoa; Chordata; Mammalia; Primates; Lorisidae
Product: U1 spliceosomal RNA
Exons: 1
Source: RefSeq, a predicted model, not a curated record
AUACUUCCCUGGCAGGGGAGAUGCCAUGUUCAUGAAGGUGGUUUUCCCAGGGCGAGCCUUAUCCAUUGCACUACAGAUAUGUUGACCCCUGCAAUUUCCCCAAAAUAUGGGAAACUCUACUGCAUAAUUUGUGGUAGUAGGGGACUGUGUUUGCGCUCUCCCCUA